UUCUAACCGUAAACGAUGUUAACUAGCGACUCGCAGGCGUUACUUUAACGGCCCUGCGAGGAGCUCCCGGGAAACCUAAGUGUUCGAAUUCCGGGGGAAGUAUGGUUGCAAAGCUGAAACUUAAAGGAAUUGACGGAAGGGCACCACCAGGAGUGGAGCUUGCGGCUUAAUUUGACUCAACGCGGGGAAACUCACUUGGUCAGGACACUGUGAGGAUUGACAGAUUGAAAGCUCUUUCUUGAUUCGGUGGAUGGUGGUGCAUGGCCGUUCUUAGUUGGUGGAGUGAUUUGUCUGGUUAAUUCCGAUAACGAACGAGACUCUAUCUUGCUAACUAGUCACAGGAUUAUUCUGACUGUGGAGCUUCUUAGAAGGACAGGGGGUUACAACCCCACGAGAUUGAGCAAUAACAGGUCUGUGAUGCCCUUAGAUGUCCAAGGCUGCACGCGUGCUACACUGAAUGCGUCAGCAUGUGAACCUAACUCGGAGGAGUCUGGGGAACCCUUUGAAACGUAUUCGUGCUUGGGAUUGGGACUUGCAAUUAUUUCCCACGAACGAGGAAUUCCUAGUAAGCGCGAGUCAACAUCUCGUGCUG
RNAcentral lists this ribosomal RNA (592 nucleotides) under Oncholaimus dyvae. RNAcentral describes it as "SSU rRNA". It matches the Rfam family "Eukaryotic small subunit ribosomal RNA", at positions 1024 to 1643 of the family's 1831-position model. The record is from RNAcentral. Lineage: Eukaryota; Metazoa; Nematoda; Enoplea; Enoplida; Oncholaimidae.